This is a long non-coding RNA of Haliotis rubra (blacklip abalone), 548 nucleotides long. RefSeq lists it as uncharacterized. The transcript has 2 exons. The record is from RefSeq and is a predicted model, not a curated record. Lineage: Eukaryota; Metazoa; Mollusca; Gastropoda; Lepetellida; Haliotidae.
CUCAAUUUUAAUCACGGAAGGUGACUUUUAGAAUAUCCUUUACAACAUAUCAAAAGUUUUGAUUUUCGUUCGUAUUCCCCUUUAAGAAUACGCGAUGGUUUCUCAUCCCAGUGAAUAUUUAAUUGUCAAACCUCCUCCUUGCGAGUAUUUACUGGAUCUGUAUCGUAUCCCUGCGAAUACUGAAUGUUCUCGACUUCUUAAUGGAACGGCCGCGUGGAGAAUACUUAAUGGUCAUUCGCUUAGGAGGACGGGUUGUCAGUCCAAUUUGUAUUAGUGACAUUGAUUCAUUAAGACAGACACAUUCUUGAAAAUACUUUUAUUGACUGAAAAUAUGUGCAUUCCAGUAGAAUGAGUGGUGAUAAUGCAAGGACAGAAGAUGCACACGUGAAGGGAAGGCUUACAGGGCAUGGAGUAAAGGACAACGAGGACAUUGAGUGAAGGACAACGAGGACAUGGAGUGAAGGACGAGGACAUGGAGUGAAGGACAACGAGGACAUGGAGUGAAGGACAACGAGGACAUGGAGUGAAGGACGAGGACAUGGAGUGAA